GGAAUAUUGGACAAUGGGCGCAAGCCUGAUCCAGCCAUGCCGCGUGCAGGAUGACGGUCCUAUGGAUUGUAAACUGCUUUUGUACAGGAAGAAACACUGGUUCGUGAACCAGCUUGACGGUACUGUAAGAAUAAGGAUCGGCUAACUCCGUGCCAGCAGCCGCGGUAAUACGGAGGAUCCAAGCGUUAUCCGGAAUCAUUGGGUUUAAAGGGUCCGUAGGCGGUCUUGUAAGUCAGUGGUGAAAGCCCAUCGCUCAACGGUGGAACGGCCAUUGAUACUGCAGGACUUGAAUUAUUAGGAAGUAACUAGAAUAUGUAGUGUAGCGGUGAAAUGCUUAGAGAUUACAUGGAAUACCAAUUGCGAAGGCAGGUUACUACUAAUUGAUUGACGCUGAUGGACGAAAGCGUGGGUAGCGAACAGGAUUAGAUACCCUUG
This 435-nucleotide ribosomal RNA is filed under the name uncultured Flavobacterium sp. RNAcentral describes it as "bacterial SSU rRNA". It matches the Rfam family "Bacterial small subunit ribosomal RNA", at positions 358 to 790 of the family's 1533-position model. The record is from RNAcentral. Lineage: Bacteria; Pseudomonadati; Bacteroidota; Flavobacteriia; Flavobacteriales; Flavobacteriaceae.